UCAUCCGGGGAUCUCCCCGGUGCACUCUUCUGUGGGCAGGCCAGCAUCAGUUCGGGCGGUUGGAGAAAGACCUGUGUCAUGUAGCUGUUCUCGGGCAGUGUUAUAGGGCAGGUGGAAUGCAACCAGCCUGAACUGAGGUCCGCGCUUUUGCUAGGAUGCUGGCGUAAUGGCUGUAAGCGGCCCGUCUUGAAACACGGACCAAGGAGUCUAACAUCUAUGCGAGUGUUUGGGUGUCAAGCCCGAGCGCGUAAUGAAAGUGAACGGAGGUGGGAACCCCUCGGGGUGCACCAUCGACCGAUCCUGAUGUCUUCGGAUGGAUUUGAGUAAGAGCAUAGCUGUUGGGACCCGAAAGAUGGUGAACUAUGCCUGAAUAGGGUGAAGCCAGAGGAAACUCUGGUGGAGGCUCGCAGCGGUUCUGACGUGCAAAUCGAUCGUCAAAUUUGGGCAUAGGGGCGAAAGACUAAUCGAACUAUCUAGUAGCUGGUUCCUGCCGAAGUUUCCCUCAGGAUAGCAGUAACGUUUUCAGUUUUAUGAGGUAAAGCGAAUGAUUAGAGGCCUGGGGGUUGAAACAACCUUCACCUAUUCUCAAACUUUAAAUAUGUAAGAAGUCCUUGUUUCUUAAUUGAACGUGGACAUUUGAAUGUAUCGUUACUAGUGGGCCAUUUUUGGUAAGCAGAACUGGCGAUGCGGGAUGAACCGAACGCGGGGUUAAGGUGCCAGAAUGCACGCUCAUCAGACACCACAAAAGGUGUUAGUUCAUCAG
RNAcentral lists this ribosomal RNA (763 nucleotides) under uncultured Ascomycota. Its description in RNAcentral is "LSU rRNA". It matches the Rfam family "Eukaryotic large subunit ribosomal RNA", at positions 456 to 1235 of the family's 3401-position model. Lineage: Eukaryota; Fungi; Ascomycota. The record is from RNAcentral.